Molecule: long non-coding RNA, 220 nt
Filed under: Ananas comosus (pineapple)
Lineage: Eukaryota; Viridiplantae; Streptophyta; Magnoliopsida; Poales; Bromeliaceae
Description: long non-coding RNA (ACOM_LNC044115)
Source: RNAcentral
UAGUGAUAGGCCAUUGGACAUCUAUUAUUUCCAUGUUUUAGACAUGAUGACAUAGAGAUAGGCCUAUGAGUGAGUUGUGACAUAUUCCAUGUUAUAGACAUGAGGACUUGGUACUUAAGACAUACUCAUAGCAUGCUUGCCAUUAUGCUCAUUCGCACAUGCUUGUGAGGGUCGCUCCCUACAAGCCGGUACUCCGGAGUUGGCCUUUGCGAUACGUUCG